This 380-nucleotide unclassified non-coding RNA is filed under the name soil metagenome. RNAcentral describes it as "partial contains 5.8S ribosomal RNA, internal transcribed spacer 2, and large subunit ribosomal RNA". The stretch from base 1 to 120 matches the Rfam family "5.8S ribosomal RNA", at positions 35 to 154 of the family's 154-position model. The record is from RNAcentral.
GAUGAAGAACGCAGCGAAAUGCGAUAAGUAAUGUGAAUUGCAGAAUUCAGUGAAUCAUCGAAUCUUUGAACGUACCUUGCACCCUUUGGCAUUCUGAAGGGUAUGCUCGUUUGAGUGUCAUUGUACUCUCACACUCCCGAUCUUUGCAUUGGGAGCAGUGGACUUGGGUUUGCUGCUUCACCGUCGCUUACCUCAAAUAGGUUAGUGCAACUCUUGGUUGGACAUAGUACGGCGUGAUAAGUGUUCUUCGCCGGUGCCUCGCAAAGAGGGUGGCCGAUCGGGAUGUUGUGCUCCAAACCGUCUUCGGACAAUCUCUGACGACUUGACCUCAAAUCGAGUAAGACUACCCGCUGAACUUAAGCAUAUCAAUAAGCGGAGGA